AUUUGUUCAGUGUUUUAUUGGAAGAAUGACUUUGCCAGCCAUGAAAACAGAGCCAUUUGAUUGCCAAUGUGCUGCAUGAAUACUUAAUGUACUAUUAGAGGGGUUGGAUUUCCAUUUCACAUUUGUUAGGGUUUGUUCAGAGACUUUCCUUUUUUUUUUUCUUUUUAUUACAUAGCUCUUACGGGUGAACUGUCAUUAUGUAAUCACUGUGCAUUUGUGACUGGGAUCCUGAAGGCUGCCUCACAGUAUUUUAUUUUCUUCUUUGCUUGAGUGUGUUGUGGAUACGCCUUUUUGGUCACACUCACCAUAUUCACCUGGUUACAUCUUUUAUUAUACGUAGUCCCAAGUACAAAAAUUCUAGAACGUCAGAAUGUAAAUCUAGAGUAAUGUGGCUGAUAUUUAGCAUUAUGCUCAAGAACAGUUCAACACUGUUUAUGCACAUUUAUUCAUUUCAUUAUAUCCAAAAUGGGAUUAAACCUCCGGUGAACGAAACACAUUCUUUUCAUUAACAGGAGACAUCUGAAGACAUAUUGUGUUUUUUAGCGUUAAUAGGACUUUAAAGAAUACAGUCCAUCUACAGUAGUGUGUAAAAGUCUGGAGUCAAUCCACAUUUCUUCAUAUGUUUCUACAAGGCACUCAGACUUCCUGGUAAUUUUUAAAGUUGUCUUCCGCAAUAGAUCUUCAGGCUUUCUGAAGGUCGAAAGAUUUUUUUAGUUUGUUGAACCACUUAACAUCGGCUUAUGACUCAUUCAAGCACAAACGAGGCUCAAGAAAUGGCUCAAGAAAUAAACCAGUGUUGUGUCUACACAUAGCAGACAGUUUAGCAAAGAACCCAUUUUAAGUUGCAACUUUAGGAAAAUGUGUUGAAAAUGGAAACAAAUUAUAUGGUUUUGUGACAGGCUGCUAGUAACAAAGAUAACAGUUUCACAGGAAUAAAAUUUUCUGCACCAACAAGUGGAAUACCUAAAGAGCUAUUAGUUGAAAAUUUAGCAUCUCUCAGCAUGGUGUGUGUCACAGUCUGUUCUUAAAAGAUUUGAGGAGUG
This is a long non-coding RNA of Astatotilapia calliptera (eastern happy), 1043 nucleotides long. Lineage: Eukaryota; Metazoa; Chordata; Actinopteri; Cichliformes; Cichlidae. The record is from Ensembl.